UGGCGGCGUGCUUAACACAUGCAAGUCAAGGGGGCCCAGCAAUGGGCAACCGGCGAACGGGUGCGUAACACGUGAGCAACCUACCGAGAUAUGGGGGAUAGCCGGCCUAACGGCCGAGUAAUACCGCAUACGCUCUCGAUGAGGCAUUUCAUUGAGAGGAAACCUACGGGGUAUUUCGAGGGGCUCGCGGCCUAUCAGCUAGUUGGCGAGGUAACGGCUCACCAAGGCAACGACGGGUAGCUGGUCUGAGAGGAUGGCCAGCCACAUUGGGACUGAGAUACGGCCCAGACUCCUACGGGAGGCAGCAGUGGGGAAUCUUGCGCAAUGGCCUAACGGCUGACGCAGCGACGCCGCGUGUGGGAUGAAGCUCUUCGGAGUGUAAACCACUGUUGCCCGGGACGAAUAGCUCGAUUAAUCGAGCCUGACAGUACCGGGUGAGGAAGCACCGGCUAACUCCGUGCCAGCAGCCGCGGUAAUACGGGGGGUGCGAGCGUUGUCCGGAAUCACUGGGCGUAAGGGGCGCGUAGGUGGUUUGAUAAGGGUGUGGUGAAAGUCCGGGGCUCAACCCCGGAUCUGCCGUGCCGACUGUCAAACUCGAGGACUGUAGAGGCAGACGGAAUUCCGGGUGUAGCGGUGGAAUGCGUAGAGAUCCGGAGGAAGACCGGUGGCGAAGGCGGUCUGCUGGGCAGUUUCUGACACUGAUGCGCGACAGCGU
RNAcentral lists this ribosomal RNA (715 nucleotides) under uncultured soil bacterium. Its description in RNAcentral is "bacterial SSU rRNA". It matches the Rfam family "Bacterial small subunit ribosomal RNA", at positions 37 to 762 of the family's 1533-position model. The record is from RNAcentral.